AGCGCGAAGCGAGCCCUGAGAUGAGUCUUCCCUGACGGUUUAACCGUCCUAAAGGGUUGUUCGAGACUAGAACGUUGAUAGGCAGGGUGUGUAAGCGUUGUGAGGCGUUGAGCUAACCUGUACUAAUUGCCCGUGAGGCUUAACCAUACAACACCCAAGGGGUUUUGUA
This is a ribosomal RNA of 169 nucleotides. The stretch from base 1 to 147 matches the Rfam family "Bacterial large subunit ribosomal RNA", at positions 2784 to 2925 of the family's 2925-position model.